UGGCAAAUUGGUCUUUCUACAACACCUGUCUGUCUGGAUAGAACACAGAAACAUAUUUGCUGCACCGGUCAAGCCUCACAGGAUUAAACACCAGUGUUCCUGAACACAGGGCUCGCCAGCUGCAGGAGAACUGAAUGCGCUGAUCGGGGGGUCUGAGAUGCUCAUGCUGAAGGCCUUGGAUGCUGGAGACUUGCUGAGACUCCUUUAGACUGCCCCAAAAGGACCACACCCUCCAACCUGGAGAUCGGUUCUGCUGAGCCCACUUGACCCACUUGAUGGUCCCAAGACUCCCACGUCGCAGGGGUCUGGAGCCGGUAGAGGGUUCUUAACAGGACUUGGAGAGAGAAGAUACAACAAGGACUUGUCAGGAUGAAAAACAAAGACGUGCCUGCUGCUGAGGUGUAUCAUUAGAGAGAAAAGAAAAAAUGAAGAGGAUCUGAAUGGCUCGUGGAUGUGGAAGAGGGUGGAGGAACAGCAAAUAAAAUC
This 486-nucleotide long non-coding RNA is filed under the name Ornithorhynchus anatinus (platypus). RNAcentral describes it as "lncRNA (ENSOANG00000047910.1)". The record is from RNAcentral. Lineage: Eukaryota; Metazoa; Chordata; Mammalia; Monotremata; Ornithorhynchidae.